This 25-nucleotide unclassified non-coding RNA is filed under the name Mus musculus (house mouse). RNAcentral's name for it is "oocyte_clustered_small_RNA11634". The record is from RNAcentral. Lineage: Eukaryota; Metazoa; Chordata; Mammalia; Rodentia; Muridae.
UGUCGUGGACUAUUUUGGUUUCUCC